Molecule: ribosomal RNA, 301 nt
Filed under: uncultured bacterium
Lineage: Bacteria
Description: partial 16S ribosomal RNA
Rfam family: Bacterial small subunit ribosomal RNA
Source: RNAcentral
CAGCCGCCGCGGGAAUACGAAGGGGGCUAGCGUUGCUCGGAAUGACUGGGCGUAAAGGGCGCGUAGGCGGCGAUCAAAGUCAGGUGUGAAAUUCCUGGGCUCAACCUGGGGGCUGCGCUUGAUACUUGGUUGCUUGAGUGGGGAAGAGGGUCGUGGAAUUCCCAGUGUAGAGGUGAAAUUCGUAGAUAUUGGGAAGAACACCGGUGGCGAAGGCGGCGACCUGGUCCUUGACUGACGCUGAGGCGCGAAAGCGUGGGGAGCAAACAGGAUUAGAUACCCCGGUAGUCCCUGUCUCUUAUAC